GCCCCGGUAGCUUAGGCUGGUUAAAGCGCCAGCUUGGUAAGCUGGAGAGCGCGGGUUCGAAUCCCGCCCGGGGCU
RNAcentral lists this transfer RNA (75 nucleotides) under Candidatus Pelearchaeum maunauluense. RNAcentral's name for it is "tRNA-Thr". It matches the Rfam family "tRNA". From Rfam's summary of the family: Transfer RNA (tRNA) molecules are approximately 80 nucleotides in length. Their secondary structure includes four short double-helical elements and three loops (D, anti-codon, and T loops). Further hydrogen bonds mediate the characteristic L-shaped molecular structure. tRNAs have two regions of fundamental functional importance: the anti-codon, which is responsible for specific mRNA codon recognition, and the 3' end, to which the tRNAs corresponding amino acid is attached (by aminoacyl-tRNA synthetases). tRNAs cope with the degeneracy of the genetic code in two manners: having more than one tRNA (with a specific anti-codon) for a particular amino acid; and 'wobble' base-pairing, i.e. permitting non-standard base-pairing at the 3rd anti-codon position. The record is from RNAcentral. Lineage: Archaea; Thermoproteati; Nitrososphaerota; Candidatus Caldarchaeales; Candidatus Calditenuaceae.